AGAAUGGAGAUCCAGUUCGCCCAGGAGUAGCUAUGACUGAUCUUGCCACUGGCCUGUAUGCAUAUGGAGCUAUUAUGGCUGGAUUGAUACAAAAAUACAAAACUGGGAAAGGACUGUUCAUUGAUUGUAACCUACUGUCAUCCCAGGUGGCGUGUUUGUCUCACAUAGCUGCAAAUUAUCUUAUUGGUCAAAAGGAAGCAAAACGCUGGGGUACAGCUCAUGGCAGUAUUGUUCCUUACCAG
This 242-nucleotide small RNA is filed under the name Pongo abelii (Sumatran orangutan). Its description in RNAcentral is "processed transcript". The record is from RNAcentral. Lineage: Eukaryota; Metazoa; Chordata; Mammalia; Primates; Hominidae.